RNAcentral lists this transfer RNA (67 nucleotides) under Anaerococcus prevotii. It matches the Rfam family "tRNA". Rfam says of the family: Transfer RNA (tRNA) molecules are approximately 80 nucleotides in length. Their secondary structure includes four short double-helical elements and three loops (D, anti-codon, and T loops). Lineage: Bacteria; Bacillati; Bacillota; Tissierellia; Tissierellales; Peptoniphilaceae. The record is from RNAcentral.
GGAUAUAGCCAAGUCGGUAAGGCACCAGAUUCUGACUCUGGAGAGCGCAGGUUCAAGUCCUGCUAUC